UAAAGAAAGCGUAAUAGCUCACUGGUCGAGUCGGCCUGCGCGGAAGAUGUAACGGGGCUAAACCAUGCACCGAAGCUGCGGCAGCGACACUAUGUGUUGUUGGGUAGGGGAGCGUUCUGUAAGCCUGCGAAGGUGUGCUGUGAGGCAUGCUGGAGGUAUCAGAAGUGCGAAUGCUGACAUAAGUAACGAUAAAGCGGGUGAAAAGCCCGCUCGCCGGAAGACCAAGGGUUCCUGUCCAACGUUAAUCGGGGCAGG
This 255-nucleotide ribosomal RNA is filed under the name Escherichia coli. Its description in RNAcentral is "partial 23S ribosomal RNA". It matches the Rfam family "Bacterial large subunit ribosomal RNA", at positions 1124 to 1378 of the family's 2925-position model. Lineage: Bacteria; Pseudomonadati; Pseudomonadota; Gammaproteobacteria; Enterobacterales; Enterobacteriaceae. RNAcentral also lists the same sequence under 2 other names. The record is from RNAcentral.